CUUGACUUAACCAUAAGAGGUCCAGCCUGCCCAGUGACAUUGUUCAACGGCCGCGGUAUCCUAACCGUGCGAAGGUAGCGUAAUCACUUGUCCUUUAAAUGAGGACUUGUAUGAACGGCCACACGAAAGCUAUGCUGUCUCCUUUUUCUAAUCAGUUAAACUAAUCUCCCCGUGAAGAAGCGGGGAUGAUCAUAUAAGACGAGAAGACCCUAUGGAGCUUUAAGCGAUUGAAACACUUGUACCCAUCUUCCACACUUCCGACAGUCUACGCUUAAUUUUACACUUUGUUUCUAGCUUUAGGUUGGGGUGACCACGGAGAAAAAACAAACCUCCACGCUGAAAGAGUUAAUCUCUAAACAAAAAGCCACAUCUUUAAGUAUUAAUACAUUAACCUGAAUUGACCCA
RNAcentral lists this ribosomal RNA (405 nucleotides) under Anomaloglossus aff. degranvillei 1 AF-2012. RNAcentral describes it as "partial 16S ribosomal RNA". It matches the Rfam family "Bacterial large subunit ribosomal RNA", at positions 1833 to 2422 of the family's 2925-position model. The record is from RNAcentral. Lineage: Eukaryota; Metazoa; Chordata; Amphibia; Anura; Aromobatidae.